GAUAAACGCUGGCGGCGUGCCUAAUACAUGCAAGUCGAGCGAAUGGAUUAAGAGCUUGCUCUUAUGAAGUUAGCGGCGGACGGGCGAGUAACACGUGGGUAACCUGCCCAUAAGACUGGGAUAACUCCGGGAAACCGGGGCUAAUACCGGAUAACAUUUUGAACCGCAUGGUUCGAAAUUGAAAGGCGGCUUCGGCUGUCACUUAUGGAUGGACCCGCGUCGCAUUAGCUAGUUGGUGAGGUAACGGCUCACCAAGGCAACGAUGCGUAGCCGGCCUGAGAGGGUGAUCGGCCGCACUGGGACUGAGACCCGGCCCAGACUCCUACGGGAGGCAGCAGUAGGGAAUCGUCCGCAAUGGACGAAAGUCUGACGGAGCAACGCCGCGUGAGUGAUGAAGGCUUUCGGGUCGUAAAACUCUGUUGUUAGGGAAGAACAAGUGCUAGUUGAAUAAGCUGACACCUUGACGGUACCUAACCAGAAAGCCACGGCUAACUACGUGCCAGCAGCCGCCGUAA
This 515-nucleotide ribosomal RNA is filed under the name uncultured bacterium. RNAcentral's name for it is "partial 16S ribosomal RNA". It matches the Rfam family "Bacterial small subunit ribosomal RNA", at positions 28 to 523 of the family's 1533-position model. The record is from RNAcentral.